GAUGAACGCUAGCUACAGGCUUAACACAUGCAAGUCGCGGGGCAGCAUGGGGGUUGCUUGCAACCCCUGAUGGCGACCGGCGCACGGGUGAGUAACGCGUAUCCAACCUGCCCUUCACCACGGGAUAACCCGGCGAAAGUCGGACUAAUACCGUAUGUUGUCCAUUGACGGCAUCCGAUUUGGACGAAAGGCUUGGGGUGAAAGGAUGGGGAUGCGUCCGAUUAGCUUGACGGCGGGGUAACGGCCCACCGUGGCUACGAUCGGUAGGGGUUCUGAGAGGAAGGUCCCCCACACUGGAACUGAGACACGGUCCAGACUCCUACGGGAGGCAGCAGUGAGGAAUAUUGGUCAAUGGGCGUAAGCCUGAACCAGCCAAGUAGCGUGCAGGGUGACGGCCCUAUGGGUUGUAAACUGCUUUUAUGCGGGGAUAAAGUGGCCCACGUGUGGGCUUUUGCAGGUACCGCAUGAAUAAGGACCGGCUAAUUCCGUG
This 490-nucleotide ribosomal RNA is filed under the name uncultured bacterium. Its description in RNAcentral is "partial 16S ribosomal RNA". It matches the Rfam family "Bacterial small subunit ribosomal RNA", at positions 28 to 507 of the family's 1533-position model. The record is from RNAcentral.